CUACGGGAUGCUGCAGUGAGGAAUAUUGCACAAUGGGGGGAACCCUGAUGCAGCAACGCCGCGUGGAGGAUGACGCAUUUCGGUGUGUAAACUCCUUUUAUAUGUCAAGAAAAUGACGGUAGCAUAUGAAUAAGCACCGGCUAACUCCGUGCCAGCAGCCGCGGUAAUACGGAGGGUGCAAGCGUUACUCGGAAUCACUGGGCGUAAAGGACGCGUAGGCGGGUUGGUAAGUCAGGUGUGAAAUCCUACAGCUUAACUGUAGAACUGCACUUGAAACUUCUAAUCUAGAGUAUGGGAGGGGGGGAUGGAAUUAGUGGUGUAGGGGUAAAAUCCGUAGAUAUCACCAGGAAUACCUAAAGCGAAGGCGAUCUCCUGGAACAUUACUGACGCUAAGGCGUGAAAGCGUGGGGAGCAAACAGGAUUAGAUACCCCGGUAGUC
RNAcentral lists this ribosomal RNA (439 nucleotides) under uncultured bacterium. RNAcentral's name for it is "partial 16S ribosomal RNA". It matches the Rfam family "Bacterial small subunit ribosomal RNA", at positions 339 to 795 of the family's 1533-position model. The record is from RNAcentral.